GCCUACGGGGCGCAGCAGUAGGGAAUAUUGCUCAAUGGGCGCAAGCCUGACCCAGCAACGCCGCGUGAAGGAAGAAGGCUUUCGGGUUGUAAACUUCUUUUCUCAGGGACGAAGCAAGUGACGGUACCUGAGGAAUAAGCCACGGCUAACUACGUGCCAGCAGCCGCGGUAAUACGUAGGUGGCAAGCGUUAUCCGGAUUUACUGGGUGUAAAGGGCGUGUAGGCGGGGACGCAAGUCAGAUGUGAAAACCACGGGCUCAACCUGUUGCCUGCAUUUGAAACUGUGUUUCUUGAGUACUGGAGAG
Molecule: ribosomal RNA, 305 nt
Filed under: uncultured bacterium
Lineage: Bacteria
Description: bacterial SSU rRNA
Rfam family: Bacterial small subunit ribosomal RNA
Source: RNAcentral